RNAcentral lists this ribosomal RNA (314 nucleotides) under uncultured bacterium. RNAcentral describes it as "bacterial SSU rRNA". It matches the Rfam family "Bacterial small subunit ribosomal RNA", at positions 772 to 1079 of the family's 1533-position model. The record is from RNAcentral.
ACUAAAUAGAUACCCUGGUAGUCCACGCCGUAAACGAUGAUUACUCGCUGUUGGCGAUACACUGUCAGCGGCUAAAGCAAAAAGCAAUAAGUAAUCCACCUGGGGAGUACGGCCGCAAGGUUGAAACUCAAAGGAAUUGACGGGGGCCCGGCACAAGCGGAGGAACAUGUGGUUUAAAUUACGAUGAUACGCGAGGAACCGUUACCUGGGCGUUAAACUGUAGAGUGCAUUUUCUAGAGAUAGGAAUUCCCUUCGGGGUCGUUUCUUGCAAGGUGCUGCAUGGUUGUCGUCAGCUCGUGCCGUGAGGUGUCGGG